AGAAAGCUGCCCAGUCAUCCAACAUAGGAAAUGGUCCAGAAGAAAAUGAAAUAAUUCAAGUUUGGGCUGAAAAAUGUCCGCAUCCAGAGCUGAGGGAUUUUUGUCAUCUAGUCUCCAGAUCCAAGCCUGAAGCACAGCAAUCUCAAACAGUUUGGGCUGAAAAAUGUCCACACCCAGAGCAGAGGGAUUAUUCUCAUCGAAUUUCCAAACCCAAGUAUGAAACACAGCGAUCUCAAGCAG
This is a long non-coding RNA of Peromyscus eremicus (cactus mouse), 240 nucleotides long. RefSeq lists it as uncharacterized. NCBI's taxonomy places the organism in Eukaryota, Metazoa, Chordata, Mammalia, Rodentia, Cricetidae. The transcript has 5 exons. The record is from RefSeq and is a predicted model, not a curated record.